AGUGAACGCUGGCGGUAGGCCUAACACAUGCAAGUCGAACGGCAGCACAGUAAGAGCUUGCUCUUACGGGAGGCGAGUGGCGGACGGGUGAGGAAUACAUCGGAAUCUACUUUUUCGUGGGGGAUAACGUAGGGAAACUUACGCUAAUACCGCAUACGACCUACGGGUGAAAGCAGGGGAUCUUCGGACCUUGCGCGAUUGAGUGAGCCGAUGUCGGAUUAGCUAGUUGGCGGGGUAAAGGCCCACCAAGGCGACGAUCCGUAGCUGGUCUGAGAGGAUGAUCAGCCACACUGGAACUGAGACACGGUCCAGACUCCUACGGGAGGCAGCAGUGGGGAAUAUUGGACAAUGGGCGCAAGCCUGAUCCAGCCAUACCGCGUGGGUGAAGAAGGCCUUCGGGUUGUAAAGCCCUUUUGUUGGGAAAGAAAAGCAGCAGGUUAAUACCCCGCUGUUCUGACGGUACCCAAAGAAUAAGCACCGGCUAACUUCGUG
Molecule: ribosomal RNA, 492 nt
Filed under: uncultured bacterium
Lineage: Bacteria
Description: partial 16S ribosomal RNA
Rfam family: Bacterial small subunit ribosomal RNA
Source: RNAcentral